GAGAAUCAUUCACAAUGGGGGCAACCCUGAUGGUGCAACGCCGCGUGGAGGAAGAAGGUCUUCGGAUUGUAAACUCCUGUCAUCUAGGAGCAAGGCAUGGUGGUGAAUAGCCAACAUGAUUGAUAGUACUAGAAGAGGAAGGGACGGCUAACUUCGUGCCAGCAGCCGCGGUAAUACGAAGGUCCCGAGCGUUAUUCGGAAUCACUGGGCGUAAAGGGAGCGUAGGCGGCGUGGAAAGUCAGAUGUGAAAUCCCAGAGCUUAACUCUGGAACUGCAUCCGAUACUACCAUGCUAGAGUAUUGGAGGGGUAACUGGAAUUCUCGGUGUAGCAGUGAAAUGCGUAGAUAUCGAGAGGAACACUCGUGGCGAAAGCGAGUUACUGGACAAUUACUGACGCUGAGGCUCGAAGGCUAGGGGAGCAAAAGGGAUUAGAUACC
This 437-nucleotide ribosomal RNA is filed under the name Verrucomicrobia bacterium SCGC AAA027-I19. Its description in RNAcentral is "bacterial SSU rRNA". It matches the Rfam family "Bacterial small subunit ribosomal RNA", at positions 357 to 786 of the family's 1533-position model. The record is from RNAcentral. Lineage: Bacteria; Pseudomonadati; Verrucomicrobiota.